GGGGAAUAUUGCGCAAUGGGCGAAAGCCUGACGCAGCGACGCCGCGUGAGGGAUGAAGGUCUUCGGAUCGUAAACCUCUGUCAGCAGGGAAGAACGGUCACUGUGCUAAUCAGCAGUGAAUUGACGGUACCUGCAAAGGAAGCACCGGCUAACUCCGUGCC
RNAcentral lists this ribosomal RNA (161 nucleotides) under uncultured bacterium. RNAcentral's name for it is "partial 16S ribosomal RNA". It matches the Rfam family "Bacterial small subunit ribosomal RNA", at positions 356 to 509 of the family's 1533-position model. The record is from RNAcentral.